This 134-nucleotide small nucleolar RNA is filed under the name Castor canadensis (American beaver). Its description in RNAcentral is "Small nucleolar RNA SNORA51 (ENSCCNG00000001465.1)". It matches the Rfam family "Small nucleolar RNA SNORA51". From Rfam's summary of the family: ACA51 is a member of the H/ACA class of snoRNA that guide the sites of modification of uridines to pseudouridines. Lineage: Eukaryota; Metazoa; Chordata; Mammalia; Rodentia; Castoridae. The record is from Rfam by way of RNAcentral.
GGGAUUAGAGAAAAAUUAAAUUUCUGGCUGAGUUCUUACACUGACUAUACAGAGAGGUGAGGCAGAGUAAACCUACCCCAUGUAUCCCACCCCUGGUCCUAUGCCUGCUGUAUAUUGUGAAUAGGGAGACAUGG